Molecule: long non-coding RNA, 1413 nt
Filed under: Taeniopygia guttata (zebra finch)
Lineage: Eukaryota; Metazoa; Chordata; Aves; Passeriformes; Estrildidae
Description: lncRNA (ENSTGUG00000019598.1)
Source: RNAcentral
AGGCGGCAGACGCAGGAGCCCCAGCCAUCAAACACUCACGCAACUGUUUUCGCUGCCUCUCCGCAGGGUUUGGUAACAAAAGUCCCCCUUGCAGGCGCUGCCUCUCGGCAGGCUGCUCUGCAAUCCCACUGGAGCCCGCCUGCCUUUGAAGCAGAGGCCAAGAUUUCAUCCCCCGGCAGCGCUGCAGCUGCUGCAGCUGCUGCAGCUGCUGCACCUGCUGAGUGCUGCUGUUGUCCCCUGCAGCCGUGCUGGGGAUGGGGGACAUCCCGUCAGCUUCACUCUCCCCUGGGUCCUGGCCAGGGGCAGGGCUGCUGCCCGGUGUCUGGGCUGAUUCCCGGUGUCUGGGGCUGCUCCCCGGUGUCUGGGGCUGCUCCCGGUGUCUGGGGCUGCUCCCCUGUGUCUGGGGCUGCUCCCCGGUGUCUGGGGCUGCUCCCGGUGUCUGGGGCUGCUCCCCGGUGUCUGGGCUGCUCCCCGGGGUCUGGGGCUGCUCCCCGGUGUCUGGGGCUGCUCCCCGGUGUCUGGGCUGAUUCCCGGUGUCUGGGGCUGCUCCCGGUGUCUGGGCUGAUUCCGGUGUCUGGGGCUGCUCCCCGGUGUCUGGGGCUGCUCCCGGUGUCUGGGGCUGCUCCCCGGUGUCUGGGGCUGCUCCCAGGUGAUGUCUCCACAGCACAAAACUCUCCCGCAGCGCUCAGAGGUGCCGAGGGCCAGGACUGGGAGCACUCUGGGAUGCCAGCAAGCUUUGGGUUCUUAAAAUCAAAGCAGCAGAAUUCUCACCCCACCCAGCCCAUUCCAGUUGUGGUGCCCUCUCCUUUGAAGGAUGGAAGAGCAUGUCCUGAGUGGUGGCAGCACAGGGACAGGUUGGGGACACUGUCCCACGCUGUGGCUGUCCCUGCUGCUGUGCACAGCGGUCAGGGUACGAUGUGGCUCUGGAGGAGCGCCUGGCUCAGGGUGCAGGGAGCUAGGGGGAAUGGGGACAUGGAAAAUCCUUUAGUCCCUGGGUGGGCCUUCCAUCCUGAGAGCGCCAAGGAGAAGAGGGGCUCCCUCCCCGCCCUCUGGGGCCUGCGGGGCCGCCCUUUCUCCUUCCCACUCCAAAGCAGCUCUGCGUAUUUGGAAGAAAAUCAAGCCUGGAAGCGGAUCAGCCUGUCACCAUUCCAGCGGCUCUCCGGCACGGCGGCAGCGCUGCCAGCGCGGCUUCCAUGGGCACAGGGAGCACCCACGGGAGGGGAAUGUGGGAAUUCUGCUCUCCCAGACCAGACCGGGAGGGGAAUUCGGGAAUUCGGGAAUUCUCCUCUCCCAGACCAGAGCAGAAGGGGAACUCUGCUCUCCCGGGCCUGGCACAGGGCUCUGGACACGGCCACCGCCACCACCCAACAAGUUGCCCUCAAACAUCCCAGGCCAGGCACAGCCUCCGGGUGA